RNAcentral lists this unclassified non-coding RNA (203 nucleotides) under Hevea brasiliensis (rubber tree). Lineage: Eukaryota; Viridiplantae; Streptophyta; Magnoliopsida; Malpighiales; Euphorbiaceae. The record is from RNAcentral.
GUUGAAAGUUGGCUUACUUGGUAUGUGGGUUUAUCUUUUGAAUGGUCUGAUAGAGACGUAAACAAAGACGGAGGCAUUUGAUUCUUCCUUAGUGUCUUCGGAGGUGGAAGUUGGUUUCUUGGCUGCUUAUCACCUAAGCAGUUCUUAUGUUAGGCCAAUGGUGUAUAUAAAUCAGGGACCCUAAAUCACAGCCAUGAUUAGUG